Molecule: long non-coding RNA, 207 nt
Filed under: Elaeis guineensis (African oil palm)
Lineage: Eukaryota; Viridiplantae; Streptophyta; Magnoliopsida; Arecales; Arecaceae
Description: long non-coding RNA (EGUI_LNC079937)
Source: RNAcentral
CAGCAAAUCGUCAAGAAUGGAGCUUCCAGCACAAGUGGCCCUAUAUAUAUAGGGCCGUUCGAUGGUCGAGAUGACGCUGCGCCGACCGAGAUCCCUCGGAUGGGUGACACUUGGCGGCAUCCGGGCCCCCCUUUCGGCCCGGUGGUUCGGCGCGCCCAUCCCGGGAAGGCCGCACCGCCUUCAUUUAAUGCGAAGGACGCCAGCCCA